Molecule: long non-coding RNA, 1166 nt
Filed under: Numida meleagris (helmeted guineafowl)
Lineage: Eukaryota; Metazoa; Chordata; Aves; Galliformes; Numididae
Description: lncRNA (ENSNMEG00000002040.1)
Source: RNAcentral
NNNNNNNGCCCCACGGCACCCGUCCCAUCCCGCGCCGCUGCCCCACUGCCCGCCCCGCUCCGGCCGCGCUGUGCCCCACUGCUAUCGGGUGCCGGGCUGCGGGAUUCCCGGGGGGAACUCCUGGGGAUCCCCCCCCCUCCUGCCCCCCCCCAUGGCCGGGAUUUGGGGUUCUCUCGUUUGGAUUUUUAUUUAUUUAUUUAUUUAAGGGUCCAAAAAAAAAAAAAAAUGGGGGUUCCCCAGACGGGGCCGUGUGGGCAGCAAUGGGACGUGGCCGUCCUUCUGUCCUCCUGCCCCUAUAUGUCCUUCUGUCCCUCUGUCCCCCUCUCCCUCUGUCCCUCUGUCCGCCUGUCCCCCUCUCCCUCUAUUCCUCUAUCCCUCUGUCCCCCUGUCCCUGUGUCCUUCUAUCCCUCUGUCCCUCUGUCCACCUGUCCUCCUGUCCCUCUGUCCCCCUGUCCCUCUGUCCCCCUCUCCCUCUAUCCCCCUGUCCCUCUAUCCCCCUCUCCCUCUGUCCCUCUGUCCCUGAGGGCUGUGCACAGUGACAGGUGUGCGAGUGCACCUGGGUGCAAAUGCGCGCUCACCCGCGCGUGCAUGCAGGCCUCCGCACGUUGCCACACGUGCAGCUCCCAGCCGUGCAGGCGCACACAAGUGCACGCUCACAGAUUCCUAAGCACAAACGUGCAAGCUCCUUUCUGCACACGCACGCACACGUGUGCACGCUCACACACAUGCGUGCACCUGCGUGCUUUAAGCUCGGGGUGCAGGGCGCUCCUGCAGGUGGCAUUGGUGCAAGGAAGGGGGAGCAGCGUGCAUUGCACGCACGCACACACGUGUGCACACACACACAUACACACACACACACACACGUGCUCUGCUGGGACGUCCCUCAGCACCGUGGGGACGCGGUGGCUCAGCGCUGGGGGCCGGGCUGGAUGCACUGAUAACGGCCCCGCUGUUAUCAGGGCGCUGCCGUGUGUUCCUCUCCCUGCAGGUUUUGGGGUCCCCCCCCCCAGCACCCCACUGCUUGGGGUGGGCUGACUGAUCUGGGUGCUAUGGGGGGGGGCAGCACCCCACUGCUUGCUCUGUGGUACCCAGGGUGUGGGGCACAGUGGGCAGAGGGGUGUACCCCCCCCCCCAUCCAGAGCCCAAUUUUAGGGUUAUGGUGUUCA